Molecule: ribosomal RNA, 119 nt
Filed under: Betta splendens (Siamese fighting fish)
Lineage: Eukaryota; Metazoa; Chordata; Actinopteri; Anabantiformes; Osphronemidae
Source: RNAcentral
GCUUACGGCCAUACCACCCUGAGCACGCCCGAUCUCGUCUGAUCUCGGAAGCUAAGCAGGGUCGGGCCUGGUUAGUACUUGGAUGGGAGACCGCCUGGGAAUACCAGGUGCUGUAAAGC